UAACGUGUCAGAGAAGUACUAAUUAUGACAAGUGGAUAAGAUCUGUUUCCGGAGAUAGCUCGACAAAGAAUUUUUCCACAGUAAGAGCAUGUUAUAUGUCUUGUUUUCCCUCUGCGCUGCAUUCUGGGGAAUCCAAAUUAUGAAGCGGAUCACUUCAUCCAAAGAUAAACAUCACUGAAAGAGCAGUUCUAACAUCACUAAUUAUGGAAACAGCACUUUGGAAUAACCUUCUAAGUUCCUUGGAAUUAAUCACCCACGAAUCUUACUGAAUCGCAAUCAUUUUACUUAUGAUAGGAGAGGUUUGUGAUUUCAUAUGAAAGUUUGAAAGAUUCAUUAGGAUGUGUAUUCAUUUUUAUUUCAUUUUAAAAAUAUAUUUAAUUUCCUCCCAAUUUAAAUAAAAUGUUUGUUCACAACAUAUAUUUUUACAUUCAAAGGAUUACAAAGUCUUAGAAACCAUGUAAAAUAAAUUGCAUUUUUGCAGUGAUUUUGGUAGCAAUCAUAGGUGAAAAGUAUUUUUCACAAGAGGAAUAAUUAAAAUCAUAUUUGUUGUAACCUGGUAUAAAGUGACUGACUGUCUUCCUAUUGAGGCUAAACAUAAACAUAUGUGAAUGUCAGUUUUUCCGUAAUGAUUGCAUUACACUAGAAUCUCAAUGUCAUGCCCAAUUCAGUGUUCAUAACAUACAGCUACAUGAGGAUGAGUAGUCGAGGCAAGAAAAUUAUUAAAAACAGCAUGAUAAAAUAACUCAAACUAGUAAGAGUUGAAACAUCUUCAAUAAAAUUGGCUGAUGUAUAUGUUGUAUAAUGCAGACUUACAGUUUAGACUGAACUAUUUAAGGAGUACACCUGUAGCUGCCAACUUUAGAUACUGAUCAGGCCAGCACUUACAUAUUGGUAUCCCAUUGACUAAUGUUACUCACGUGACAAAAUAUUUGCAAGGCUGGGCCCUUAAUUUCUGGUAAUUUCCUGCUGGGGUGAUCUCAGGGGAGAUGCACGUCUUGUC
RNAcentral lists this long non-coding RNA (1000 nucleotides) under Buteo japonicus. Its description in RNAcentral is "lncRNA (ENSBJAG00000008358.1)". Lineage: Eukaryota; Metazoa; Chordata; Aves; Accipitriformes; Accipitridae. The record is from RNAcentral.